RNAcentral lists this ribosomal RNA (116 nucleotides) under Cronobacter sakazakii. Lineage: Bacteria; Pseudomonadati; Pseudomonadota; Gammaproteobacteria; Enterobacterales; Enterobacteriaceae. The record is from RNAcentral. RNAcentral also lists the same sequence under 1 other name.
CCUGGCGGCUGCAGCGCGGUGGUCCCACCUGACCCCAUGCCGAACUCAGAAGUGAAACGCCGUAGCGCCGAUGGUAGUGUGGGGCCUCCCCAUGCGAGAGUAGGGAACUGCCAGGC